GGGCCGUUAGCUCAGUUGGUAGAGCAGGAGACUCUUAAUCUCAAGGUCGUAGGUUCGAGCCCUACACGGCCCA
This 73-nucleotide transfer RNA is filed under the name Solirubrobacterales bacterium. Its description in RNAcentral is "tRNA-Lys". It matches the Rfam family "tRNA". From Rfam's summary of the family: Transfer RNA (tRNA) molecules are approximately 80 nucleotides in length. Their secondary structure includes four short double-helical elements and three loops (D, anti-codon, and T loops). Lineage: Bacteria; Bacillati; Actinomycetota; Thermoleophilia; Solirubrobacterales. RNAcentral also lists the same sequence under 4 other names. The record is from RNAcentral.